UCGGGAAUUUUGGACAAUGGGCGCAAGCCUGAUCCAGCCAUGCCGCGUGAGUGACGAAGGCCUUAGGGUUGUAAAGCUCUUUUGGCGGGGACGAUAAUGACGGUACCCGCAGAAUAAGCUCCGGCUAACUUCGUGCCAGCAGCCGCGGUAAUACGAAGGGUGCAAGCGUUACUCGGAAUUACUGGGCGUAAAGCGUGCGUAGGUGGUGCGUUAAGUCUGUCGUGAAAUCCCCGGGCUCAACCUGGGAAUGGCGAUGGAUACUGGCGCGCUAGAGUGAGGUAGAGGAGAGUGGAAUUCCCGGUGUAGCAGUGAAAUGCGUAGAGAUCGGGAGGAACAUCAGUUGCGAAGGCGGCUCUCUGGACCAUCACUGACACUGAGGCACGAAAGCGUGGGGAGCAAACAGGAUUAGAUACCCCCGUAGUCCCUGAGCGGGCUGGCAAGGCGCAU
Molecule: ribosomal RNA, 447 nt
Filed under: uncultured bacterium
Lineage: Bacteria
Description: bacterial SSU rRNA
Rfam family: Bacterial small subunit ribosomal RNA
Source: RNAcentral